RNAcentral lists this ribosomal RNA (2550 nucleotides) under Escherichia coli KTE136. Its description in RNAcentral is "bacterial LSU rRNA". It matches the Rfam family "Bacterial large subunit ribosomal RNA", at positions 397 to 2925 of the family's 2925-position model. The record is from RNAcentral. Lineage: Bacteria; Pseudomonadati; Pseudomonadota; Gammaproteobacteria; Enterobacterales; Enterobacteriaceae.
CUGUGAGCUCGAUGAGUAGGGCGGGACACGUGGUAUCCUGUCUGAAUAUGGGGGGACCAUCCUCCAAGGCUAAAUACUCCUGACUGACCGAUAGUGAACCAGUACCGUGAGGGAAAGGCGAAAAGAACCCCGGCGAGGGGAGUGAAAAAGAACCUGAAACCGUGUACGUACAAGCAGUGGGAGCACAGAGCAAUCUGUGUGACUGCGUACCUUUUGUAUAAUGGGUCAGCGACUUAUAUUCUGUAGCAAGGUUAACCGAAUAGGGGAGCCGAAGGGAAACCGAGUCUUAACUGGGCGUUAAGUUGCAGGGUAUAGACCCGAAACCCGGUGAUCUAGCCAUGGGCAGGUUGAAGGUUGGGUAACACUAACUGGAGGACCGAACCGACUAAUGUUGAAAAAUUAGCGGAUGACUUGUGGCUGGGGGUGAAAGGCCAAUCAAACCGGGAGAUAGCUGGUUCUCCCCGAAAGCUAUUUAGGUAGCGCCUCGUGAAUUCAUCUCCGGGGGUAGAGCACUGUUUCGGCAAGGGGGUCAUCCCGACUUACCAACCCGAUGCAAACUGCGAAUACCGGAGAAUGUUAUCACGGGAGACACACGGCGGGUGCUAACGUCCGUCGUGAAGAGGGAAACAACCCAGACCGCCAGCUAAGGUCCCAAAGUCAUGGUUAAGUGGGAAACGAUGUGGGAAGGCCCAGACAGCCAGGAUGUUGGCUUAGAAGCAGCCAUCAUUUAAAGAAAGCGUAAUAGCUCACUGGUCGAGUCGGCCUGCGCGGAAGAUGUAACGGGGCUAAACCAUGCACCGAAGCUGCGGCAGCGACGCUUAUGCGUUGUUGGGUAGGGGAGCGUUCUGUAAGCCUGCGAAGGUGUGCUGUGAGGCAUGCUGGAGGUAUCAGAAGUGCGAAUGCUGACAUAAGUAACGAUAAAGCGGGUGAAAAGCCCGCUCGCCGGAAGACCAAGGGUUCCUGUCCAACGUUAAUCGGGGCAGGGUGAGUCGACCCCUAAGGCGAGGCCGAAAGGCGUAGUCGAUGGGAAACAGGUUAAUAUUCCUGUACUUGGUGUUACUGCGAAGGGGGGACGGAGAAGGCUAUGUUGGCCGGGCGACGGUUGUCCCGGUUUAAGCGUGUAGGCUGGUUUUCCAGGCAAAUCCGGAAAAUCAAGGCUGAGGCGUGAUGACGAGGCACUACGGUGCUGAAGCAACAAAUGCCCUGCUUCCAGGAAAAGCCUCUAAGCAUCAGGUAACAUCAAAUCGUACCCCAAACCGACACAGGUGGUCAGGUAGAGAAUACCAAGGCGCUUGAGAGAACUCGGGUGAAGGAACUAGGCAAAAUGGUGCCGUAACUUCGGGAGAAGGCACGCUGAUAUGUAGGUGAAGUCCCUCGCGGAUGGAGCUGAAAUCAGUCGAAGAUACCAGCUGGCUGCAACUGUUUAUUAAAAACACAGCACUGUGCAAACACGAAAGUGGACGUAUACGGUGUGACGCCUGCCCGGUGCCGGAAGGUUAAUUGAUGGGGUUAGCGCAAGCGAAGCUCUUGAUCGAAGCCCCGGUAAACGGCGGCCGUAACUAUAACGGUCCUAAGGUAGCGAAAUUCCUUGUCGGGUAAGUUCCGACCUGCACGAAUGGCGUAAUGAUGGCCAGGCUGUCUCCACCCGAGACUCAGUGAAAUUGAACUCGCUGUGAAGAUGCAGUGUACCCGCGGCAAGACGGAAAGACCCCGUGAACCUUUACUAUAGCUUGACACUGAACAUUGAGCCUUGAUGUGUAGGAUAGGUGGGAGGCUUUGAAGUGUGGACGCCAGUCUGCAUGGAGCCGACCUUGAAAUACCACCCUUUAAUGUUUGAUGUUCUAACGUUGACCCGUAAUCCGGGUUGCGGACAGUGUCUGGUGGGUAGUUUGACUGGGGCGGUCUCCUCCUAAAGAGUAACGGAGGAGCACGAAGGUUGGCUAAUCCUGGUCGGACAUCAGGAGGUUAGUGCAAUGGCAUAAGCCAGCUUGACUGCGAGCGUGACGGCGCGAGCAGGUGCGAAAGCAGGUCAUAGUGAUCCGGUGGUUCUGAAUGGAAGGGCCAUCGCUCAACGGAUAAAAGGUACUCCGGGGAUAACAGGCUGAUACCGCCCAAGAGUUCAUAUCGACGGCGGUGUUUGGCACCUCGAUGUCGGCUCAUCACAUCCUGGGGCUGAAGUAGGUCCCAAGGGUAUGGCUGUUCGCCAUUUAAAGUGGUACGCGAGCUGGGUUUAGAACGUCGUGAGACAGUUCGGUCCCUAUCUGCCGUGGGCGCUGGAGAAUUGAGGGGGGCUGCUCCUAGUACGAGAGGACCGGAGUGGACGCAUCACUGGUGUUCGGGUUGUCAUGCCAAUGGCACUGCCCGGUAGCUAAAUGCGGAAGAGAUAAGUGCUGAAAGCAUCUAAGCACGAAACUUGCCCCGAGAUGAGUUCUCCCUGACUCCUUGAGAGUCCUGAAGGAACGUUGAAGACGACGACGUUGAUAGGCCGGGUGUGUAAGCGCAGCGAUGCGUUGAGCUAACCGGUACUAAUGAACCGUGAGGCUUAACCUU